This 520-nucleotide ribosomal RNA is filed under the name Omoedus sp. Gahavisuka. RNAcentral's name for it is "partial 16S ribosomal RNA". The stretch from base 129 to 425 matches the Rfam family "Bacterial large subunit ribosomal RNA", at positions 2074 to 2646 of the family's 2925-position model. The record is from RNAcentral. Lineage: Eukaryota; Metazoa; Arthropoda; Arachnida; Araneae; Salticidae.
AUUCGUGCUAAGGUAGCAUAAUCAUUUGUCUUUUAAAUAAAGACUAGAACAAAAGAUUUAACAUUUAAAUUUAUUUAUUAAUUUUUAUAAUUAAUUUUAUUCUAUAUGUAAAAAAACAUAUAUUUAAGAGAAAGACGACAAGACCCUAUUGAACUUAACUUUAGUUAAACUGGGGCAGUAAAUUAAUUAUUAUUUUAAUAAAUAUAAGUAACUAAACAUCUAAUAAUAUUACAUAAUUCAGUUACCAUAGGGAUAACAGCGCAAUUUUAUUUUAAAGCUCUUAUUUUAAAUAAAGUUUACGACCUCGAUGUUGAAUUAAUAACCUAAUUAAAGCAAAUUUUAAUAAAAAGGAAGUCUGUUCGACUUUUAAAAAAUUACAUGAUUUGAGUUCAGACCGGUAUAAGCCAGGUCGGUUUCUAUCUUCUUAAAAAAUCUUUACAGUACGAAAGGACCUAAAAAUAUAAUUAAAUUAAUUUAUUAGCAAAUAAAUGCAUUAGAAUUAGAAUCUAAUAAAACUAAA